GAUAAUCCACGCAUACCCAACCUUCUCUAGAUAUACAGCAUGUGUACUGCCGUUGCAAGCAUACCUUUAAAAGAACAAGUAUGCCACUAUGGCUAGUAAUAGCCCACACACAUCAGGUCAAAGUGCAGCCAAUAAGAAGGUGAUGAUGGGUUACAACCCAAAAACAGAAUAUCAACUAAGAAAUUAAAAAUCUUACGAAAGUGGACUUGGCUGUAAUUAAUUUAUAAGUUAAAGAAAUGAACAAAAAUCUAAGACAUGCACACAUCGCCCGUCACUCUAUCCUAAAGGAUAGAUAAGUCGUAACAAAGUAGGUGUAAUGGAAAUUGCACCUGUCGAAGUAUAGCAUAUAUAAUGCUUUUUACUUACACUAAAAAUAAAGUUAAAUAACUUGCUUCGCACAUAUAAAUAAGCCCUUAAAUAAAAAACAAUAAAAACAGUUAAAUAGUUAACAACACAAAGUACAGAAAUGGAAAAAAUAAUAAAUAAAAGUAAAUCUUAAUAAAUGUACCUUGUGCAUUAUGGUUUUACAAGAAAACAAUCAAAAUAGUAAUCCCAUUCUAAGUGAGAUGUUAAACUGCUGUUAUGAACCCAUUAAUAGCUGUAUAAAAAGCUUUAAAAGACAGUUUAACAGAGGCUACAUACCAUCCGCACAAGAAUA
RNAcentral lists this unclassified non-coding RNA (658 nucleotides) under Amynthas hupeiensis. RNAcentral's name for it is "partial contains 12S ribosomal RNA, tRNA-Val, and 16S ribosomal RNA". Lineage: Eukaryota; Metazoa; Annelida; Clitellata; Crassiclitellata; Megascolecidae. The record is from RNAcentral.